GUAGAGGCUCAGUGGUAGAGUGCUUGCCUAGCAUGCAUGAGGCACUGGGUUUGAUCCUCAUCACCACA
RNAcentral lists this transfer RNA (68 nucleotides) under Marmota monax (woodchuck). Its description in RNAcentral is "tRNA.Ala". Lineage: Eukaryota; Metazoa; Chordata; Mammalia; Rodentia; Sciuridae. The record is from RNAcentral.